Mastomys coucha (southern multimammate mouse) is the source of this 544-nucleotide long non-coding RNA. RefSeq lists it as uncharacterized. NCBI's taxonomy places the organism in Eukaryota, Metazoa, Chordata, Mammalia, Rodentia, Muridae. The transcript has 3 exons. The record is from RefSeq and is a predicted model, not a curated record.
UGUUAGCACUUUGGAAUUUGGAAGGCUUGGGAAUCUUUUUAUUUUAAUAGAGUUAAACUAGUAACUUAACAUGGUUUAAGGAGGUGUUAGGGGUAAAUAUAGAAGCAUCCUCAUAUAUGCCUGUUAAAUUUGGUUCAGACUUCAGUCCAUUAUCAUCAUGGUGGGAAGCAUAACCGUGUCCAGGCAGGAUGGUGGAGGAGGAGCUUAGAGUUUUACAUCUUCAUCUGAAGACUACUACCAGAAUACUGACUACCAGGCAGUGCUCAGCGGCAGCAGAGUCUGAAGAUGCGGCCCCGGUAACGGCAGGCCCCAGAGAGCCGUUCUCCAAAACCACAGCCUGUGAGUCUGCAAUAGCAGGUCAAGCCUGACUUCACAUCUGGGGAAACAGAGAUCAGAUACAGUACUUAGUGCCUGAGUCAGCAGGGCAGAAGAGAUCUUGGGCAAGAUAUGUGCUGGGUGAAACGGGUUCUCCACAUUGAUCAUUACUGACAGCAGCAUGAGCAAUCAGGAUCAAUAUAAAUAAAUAUACAUUGUAAGCACAAAA